AUUGAACGCUGGCGGUAUGCUUAACACAUGCAAGUCGAACGAGUGGCGGACGGGUGAGUAAUGCAUAGGAAUCUACCUUUUAGUCUAGGAUAACUACCCGAAAGGGUGGCUAAUACUGGAUGCUAAGAGAUGAGCCUAUGUGGGAUUAGCUAGUUGGUGGGGUAAUGGCUCACCAAGGCGACGAUCUCUAGCUGGUUUGAGAGGAUGAGCAGCCACACUUGGGAGGGGGCACGGCCCAGACUCCAACGGGAGGCAGCAGUGGGGAAUAUUGGAGAAUGGGCGAAAGCCUGAUCCAGCAAUGCCGCGGUGGGGAAGAAGGCCCUAGGGUUGUAAAGCACUUUUGUUAGGGAGAUGUUACCUAAAGAAUAAGCACCGGCUAACUCCGUGCCAGCCGCCGCGGUAAUAC
Molecule: ribosomal RNA, 406 nt
Filed under: uncultured bacterium
Lineage: Bacteria
Description: partial 16S ribosomal RNA
Rfam family: Bacterial small subunit ribosomal RNA
Source: RNAcentral